RNAcentral lists this ribosomal RNA (265 nucleotides) under uncultured Staphylococcus sp. RNAcentral's name for it is "partial 16S ribosomal RNA". It matches the Rfam family "Bacterial small subunit ribosomal RNA", at positions 96 to 354 of the family's 1533-position model. Lineage: Bacteria; Bacillati; Bacillota; Bacilli; Caryophanales; Staphylococcaceae. The record is from RNAcentral.
CGGCGGACGGGUGAGUAACACGUGGAUAACCUACCUAUAAGACUGGGAUAACUUCGGGAAACCGGAGCUAAUACCGGAUAAUAUAUUGAACCGCAUGGUUCAAUAGUGAAAGACGGUUUUGCUGUCACUUAUAGAUGGAUCCGCGCCGCAUUAGCUAGUUGGUAAGGUAACGGCUUACCAAGGCAACGAUGCGUAGCCGACCUGAGAGGGUGAUCGCCACACUGGAACUGAGACACGGUCCAGACUCCUACGGGAGGCAGCAGGA